CCUACGGGAGGCAGCAGUGGGGAAUUUUGGACAAUGGGCGAAAGCCUGAUCCAGCAAUGCCGCGUGAGUGAAGAAGGCCUUCGGGUUGUAAAGCUCUUUUGUCAGGGAAGAAACGGUGGGAGCUAAUAUCUCUUGCUAAUGACGGUACCUGAAGAAUAAGCACCGGCUAACUACGUGCCAGCAGCCGCGGUAAUACGUAGGGUGCAAGCGUUAAUCGGAAUUACUGGGCGUAAAGCGUGCGCAGGCGGUUUUGUAAGUCUGAUGUGAAAUCCCCGGGCUCAACCUGGGAAUUGCAUUGGAGACUGCAAGGCUAGAAUCUGGCAGAGGGGGGUAGAAUUCCACGUGUAGCAGUGAAAUGCGUAGAUAUGUGGAGGAACACCGAUGGCGAAGGCAGCCCCCUGGGUCAAGAUUGACGCUCAUGCACGAAAGCGUGGGGAGCAAACAGGAUUAGAUACCCUGGUAGUCCACGCCCUAAACGAUGUCUACUAGUUGUCGGGUCUUAAUUGACUUGGUAACGCAGCUAACGCGUGAAGUAGACCGCCUGGGGAGUACGGUCGCAAGNUUAAAACUUAAGUGAAUUGACGG
Molecule: ribosomal RNA, 585 nt
Filed under: uncultured bacterium
Lineage: Bacteria
Description: bacterial SSU rRNA
Rfam family: Bacterial small subunit ribosomal RNA
Source: RNAcentral